Molecule: long non-coding RNA, 280 nt
Filed under: Gossypium barbadense (sea-island cotton)
Lineage: Eukaryota; Viridiplantae; Streptophyta; Magnoliopsida; Malvales; Malvaceae
Description: long non-coding RNA (GBAR_LNC018472)
Source: RNAcentral
GGAUGCUACUUUGAAAGGCAAAUAGUGCAUUAACCCUAUGAUAAAUUACAAAAAAAGAACAUAUAUUCUUAAAUCUACUAGAAAUGUAACUUCUGAUUGCAAAUGGGAAAACUAUAUAUUCAUUAAAAACAAACUAAUACAGCAUAGGACUCCAUACAAUGCAAUAUUGCUAGGUAUAUGAUACCAAGGGAAUGACCCUACCAUUGCAGGCAAAUAGGCUCAUAGUAAAAUUCAGCACAAAAAAUAGGUUUCUUCACCAGGCCAAGCUCCUUGUGUGGUC